This is a long non-coding RNA of Cyprinus carpio (common carp), 1886 nucleotides long. The record is from Ensembl. NCBI's taxonomy places the organism in Eukaryota, Metazoa, Chordata, Actinopteri, Cypriniformes, Cyprinidae.
UUCUUCAGUUAAACAAGGAAAAAACAGAUUUUUUUUGUGGCUGUGAAAGAGUGCAGCUGUAGUUGUAGUUUUCUCCUGCAGGUGGCACUCUCUACAUCAGCAGCUCUGUGUUCCAUGAGUCUCUGCUCCAGUCAACAGAAGAUCACAAUCCUCUCUUCAUUCACAUGUGAACUGACUAGAACUGAGUCAAACAUCAGCACACACUCAAUACACACAGCUGCAUGUAGACAUGAUUCUGCUUUACUCUCAAUAAAACUGUCCAAAGAAUUUCAUUAAUACAAUAAAGAUACUGUUUUAUGUGAUCUGCAAGAGAAUCUGUGAAGUCAUCUGCAUAACUAGUCAUUUUACUUCACUCAGAAACAAAUGCUGUCCACUUGUUGCUUCUAAAACAAGAUUUUUUGCACUUUCUUUAGAAAAUGUGCCUGAUACUUUUUCUUUCUUUCUCUUAGUUUCUCUUGUUUCAGAUGUAUUGUAGUGCAAACUAACAGCAUUUGUCUGCCCCCAUAAGAAGAAACUUCCUCUUUCCUCAGUGAAGCGGUCAGAGGUUUCCUCGUGUGUCAGUCCAGUGUGAGUCUCGCCGUGAAGACGCUUGUCUUGAUGAGAGCCAGAACACAGAUGAUCUGAAGCAUCGUCACACACUUCUACUGGGAUUGAGUUCUUCUGAAACUGGACUUUAGAGAAAUGAUGCUCACCUUUGGACUGAUGCUGCUGCUGCUGCAAACUGCUGCAUGUCUGGAUCAGUUCUGCAUGUUUGAUCAGUCUGAUCCCUGUUACGCAGCUCUGGGACACAAACUCAAACUGCUGAUGGUGCUGGACACUAGUGAAUAUGACCUGAAGAUAAUAAAGAGAAUAAACAACAACACAGCAGAUGAUCCAGUUUGUAGAGUAAAGUAUGGCAAGAUGAAGGAAUGUGAUCUUUAUAAUAACAGACCUGAAGUGACAGUCAUUAAUGGGACUCUGAUAAUAAACCGUGUGAUCAGAGCAGAUUCAGGGAAUUACAGAUUAACUCUCGAGAGCUCAGACGGCACAGAAACAUCUAGAGAUCUUCAAGUGAUUGUUGAAGGUACAGAAACUCUCUCAUCAGACUCAUUACAAUCUCAUGUUCUCCAAAGGAUUUUAUUGCAGCUCAUUAUUGAAAGUCUGCAAGAAUAUAAUCUAAUUAAUCUGCACUUUCCAUGUACUAAGACUAUUUUCAAAAUGAAAUACCAGCAUGUUGCUUACUGUAUACUAUUUUAAAAAGUAAUGUGAACGCAUGCUGCAUUUUUAUUUCAGUGAGUCCAGCUAUCAUAUCAGGUGUAAAUUUUAUUUAGAAAUGUCUUGAUAUUGAGUCAUGAGUUGAGUCUCCCUUCAGCUCCGCACAGAAGAGUUAGUCUCAAACCCUGCACUGGUGAGAUUUUAACUGAAUGUCCAGAUACUUUAUAUAACAACCACAGCAACACCAAUGAUGAAGAACAGUCAAGUUUCUUAAUUGGGCUCAUAAGGCAUAGUUCACCCAAAAAUUCUGUCAAGUACUCACCCUCAUGUCGUUCCAAACCCAUAAGGCCUUCAUUCAUCUUCAGAACACAAAUUGAGAUAUUUUUGAUGAAAACCAAGAGCUCUCUGACCCUGAAUAGACAGCAACACAACUGAAAUGUUCCCAAGUCAAGAAACGUAGCAAGGAGAUCUGUAAAAUAAUCCAUGUGACAUCAGGGGUUCAACCGUAACUUUACGAAGCUACAAGAAUACCUUUUGUGUGGAAAACAAAACAAAACAAAACAAAAAACUUUAUUCAACAAUUCGUCUCCUCUGUGACAUCCUGUAGCACCAUUUUGGAGAGUAUGAAAACAUGGAAGUGUGGGUUUUGUUUUGUGUCUAAUUCUUGUUGUUCAGUGUGUUCAGUGUCUGUG